CCAUGGCGGCAGGACUACACAUGCAAGUCGAACGGUAACAGGAAGCAGCUUGCUGCUUUGCUGACGAGUGGCGGACGGGUGAGUAAUGUCUGGGAAACUGCCCGAUGGAGGGGGAUAACUACUGGAAACGGUAGCUAAUACCGCAUAACGUCGCAAGACCAAAGAGGGGGACCUUCGGGCCUCUUGCCAUCGGAUGUGCCCAGAUGGGAUUAGCUUGUUGGUGAGGUAACGGCUCACCAAGGCGACGAUCCCUAGCUGGUCUGAGAGGAUGACCAGCCACACUGGAACUGAGACACGGUCCAGACUCCUACGGGAGGCAGCAGUGGGGAAUAUUGCACAAUGGGCGCAAGCCUGAUGCAGCCAUGCCGCGUGUAUGAAGAAGGCCUUCGGGUUGUAAAGUACUUUCAGCGGGGAGGAAGGGGUUAAGGUUAAUAACCUUAGCCAUUGACGUUACCCGCAGAAGAAGCACCGGCUAACUCCGUGCCAGCAGCCGCGGUAAUACGGAGGGUGCAAGCGUUAAUCGGAAUUACUGGGCGUAAAGCGCACGCAGGCGGUCUGUCAAGUCGGAUGUGAAAUCCCCGGGCUCAACCUGGGAACUGCAUUCGAAACUGGCAGGCUUGAGUCUCGUAGAGGGGGGUAGAAUUCCAGGUGUAGCGGUGAAAUGCGUAGAGAUCUGGAGGAAUACCGGUGGCGAAGGCGGCCCCCUGGACGAAGACUGACGCUCAGGUGCGAAAGCGUGGGGAGCAAACAGGAUUAGAUACCCUGGUAGUCCACGCCGUAAACGAUGUCUAUUUGGAGGUUGUGCCCUUGAGGCGUGGCUUCCGGAGCUAACGCGUUAAAUAGACCGCCUGGGGAGUACGGCCGCAAGGUUAAAACUCAAAUGAAUUGACGGGGGCCCGCACAAGCGGUGGAGCAUGUGGUUUAAUUCGAUGCAACGCGAAGAACCUUACCUGGUCUUGACAUCCACAGAACUUGGCAGAGAUGCCUUGGUGCCUUCGGGAACUGUGAGACAGGUGCUGCAUGGCUGUCGUCAGCUCGUGUUGUGAAAUGUUGGGUUAAG
This 1060-nucleotide ribosomal RNA is filed under the name Citrobacter farmeri. RNAcentral describes it as "bacterial SSU rRNA". It matches the Rfam family "Bacterial small subunit ribosomal RNA", at positions 34 to 1084 of the family's 1533-position model. The record is from RNAcentral. Lineage: Bacteria; Pseudomonadati; Pseudomonadota; Gammaproteobacteria; Enterobacterales; Enterobacteriaceae.